UUUCCGUAGGUGAACCUGCGGAAGGAUCAUUAAUGUGUUUGGGCCUCACGGCUCUUCAUUCCGACGCUGUGCGCCUUCGGGCUGCACGCUGAGGGAGCAUAUAUCCACCCCUGUGCACACACACGGUGGCGAGCUGGGUAACGGCUCGCCGCUGAUCUUUACACACGUCUAAAAGUCAUUGUAUGUUUAUUUGGGAUAAAAACACAACUUUCAGCAACGGAUCUCUUGGCUCUC
This 234-nucleotide unclassified non-coding RNA is filed under the name plant metagenome. RNAcentral's name for it is "partial contains small subunit ribosomal RNA, internal transcribed spacer 1, and 5.8S ribosomal RNA". The record is from RNAcentral.